CGGUUUAGUACUCACAAGCUUGACUGACACUGCCAUAGCACUUGUGUGUUUCGCUCUGACAACUGGUAGCUAUGGUUCUGCAUGCUGUUGCCAAACUAAUCACCAUUUUUUUUUAGCCCACAUUUUACUCUCAGUUCUGCUCUUGCUGCGGAUCUACAGCACAACUCCACACGCUGUGGUCUAUCAGCAACAGACCUUUCAAUUAAAAACAUUUUAUUCCUUCCAGCGUUUUCUUUUAAAUAACAUUGUUUUCCUGUCUUCCCUCCUCUUCCUCCUCUCCAGCUGACGGCUCAGCGUCCGUCCGGGCUGUCCUCUCCGUCAGGAUCAGACACGGCUCCUCAGUGUCUCCUCCUGGAGAGGCGCGGCGAUGCUGAAGCUCAGCAGCUCCAGGAGCCGGCCUCCCUCCACGACCCCGAGCUCACCCACCCGGGAACACCCACCGACCCCCCCGUCGUUGGAGCUCAAAGCCGUGUGUCCUCGCCCCGCUCGCCGUCCUCACCCCGCUCGCCGCUCAGCCCCCUCCACGACCGCCUCUCCCCUCCGCCACCCUCCAAAAGGCUUCCAGUAACGGCGCUUUAUCCAACCUAAAAGACCCCGAUGCCCCUCCUAGUGUGACAGAGCCUCAGCUCAAAGAGGAGGAAAACCCCAAACAGCCAAUCGGCUCGGCUUCCCCCACCGCUGCACCCCGGAAAGACCCCGCCCGCAGGCAGAGCCGCAUCCCCGUGCUCGAGCCUUCCGCCGCGCCCCCCGGCUCCGCCAAGGAAAAGCUCCUGCAGAAAAAGGCCAGCCACCAGGGCCCGGCGCCCUCCCCCACCGCCUCGCCGUCACUCUCCGACAAGCGGGGCGCCAUCAUGGCCACCCUCGCCCGAGACCCGCUGUCGUCCGCCUCCGACCGCUCUCAGGACGAGGACUCCCUCAUGGGCUCCCGCUCCGACCGCCAAGGGGACGACGCUCAGUCGCUGUCCUCCUCCUCCAGCCCCCUCUCCCGCAAGAGCAGGAUCCCCCGCCCCGUUCACUCCGCCUCCUCUGCCGAGCAGCUGGCCGCCCACUUCCUGCCGAGUCCACCCCCGGGGAGGCCACCAAGCCGUCCAGGAGCGGAGGGCAGGCUGAGGCGCUACCGCAUCAGGGUCGGCAGCACAGGUGACGCCGACAUCCUGUCGUGCCUGGCUCAGCUGAUGCACGGCUCCCGCGGCUCCCCGGUUCACCAGCGCUCCUCGUCGCAGCACGGCGGCUCCCGGAUGGGAAUCGGCAGCCUGACCGGCUCCCCGCACCACCACCACCACCACCACCACCGCAGCUCCAGCGGCUCCCCGCGCAGCUCCUCCUCCCUGCAGCGCUCCGUCAGCUCCUCGCCCUCCCGCCACGAGCACCGCGGCGGCGCGGGGGGCGCCUGCCUGGGCCGCAGCCACUCGCCCCCCAGCUUUUCGGGAUCGCCGCCUCCCCGCCGCUUCUACCUUCACCACCAGGAGACGUGCUGCAGCCGGCAGGCGCGCGCCGCCGCCGCCUUCCACCUGUCCAGGGGGAAGGCCGGCUGCAGCCGCGAGGGCAAGUGCUCCAGCAAGCUGAGCAGAUAGUCGACCAGAUUGAGGCUUUUCUGAUAGAUUUGCCGCAUCAUCUUUUAGGCUGUACCCCAAUAUUUAAGUUUCAUGUUUUCUAUGGAUGAAUGAAUCAACAUAUUGAUCUCUGACUGUUUGAGUUAACUGGAGAGAAGCAGAGAAGCCCCCUCUUACUUGAUAGGUAUGUAAGCAUUCACCUUUGACCUCUCCUGCAGCACAAUAAUAUAGUAACUUAUAUAUCCCCAGUAUUUAUGAUUGCACUGAUGGAACUUCUGAUCUGGAGGUAGCAUGCAGGGUAUAGCUGCUCAGCCUGAACUGUCGCACUAACUGAGGUUUUUUUUUUUAAAUUAUUAUUGAGAUGAUUUUGUUGCGAAGCUUCCUGCUCCAUUACCCCAAUCUGUGACCAUAGAUGUGUCUCCCGCGACUUUUAUUCCGAGGGUUUGACCCCUUUAAACAAUCAGCCGUGCGAAGCGCGUGAGGACACACGCCUUUCUGUGCCUACAGUGAUGCCGAGAGGGAGUCGCUGCGUCGCGCUGGCUCAGUGGAAGCCGUAAUCCUAGCCAACAACGAGGUGUUCGUCUCUGCGUGUGCCUUGGGUAGUUUGAGGUUUGAGGAGAGGAGGAGCCAAAACCAGAUGUGUGCCAGCCGUUGUAAAACAAAAUGUUUUUCCAAAGUAGCAGGACAGAUGUUUUAAAAGUAGCUUUUGUGGUGAAAGAGAGCGCCGCAGCUUUCACCAAGUCGUGAAACAAACUUUUUCAUCAAUGGAAGCUUCAGAUCUUUAAAAAAGAAAGCAUUUUUUCAUGUCGCAAAAGAUGUUCACCAAGUCGUUCCAAGAAAGAUCUUUUUAGCUCACGGAAGAUGUAAGCGUUCAAAAAAGUAACCUUCUUUCAAAAAAUGCUGUAAAUUAACCUCAACUUCCUGCUGCUGCUGCAUCCUUUACAGAACAAGAGCGCUGCAAACCAACUAAUGAACUUCAGCAUCUUUCAUCUGCACUUACUCCUCUACAGUCUUGUUAUCCCUGAUUGUGCUGCUAAAGAAUUAGUUUCUUAAAAUGAUCUGUCUGACGCACUAUACAAUUAGCAGAAAUGUCGACAAAGUAUUUGUAAAUGAGACCAUUUUUAAAGUUCCAUUCCAAUUGCAUUUUUUCCGUUGUAAAAUCAAUCUUUUAAUCAUGAUUAUGAAAUUUUUAGCCAAAAUCUUUUUUUUUAAGACAUAUUUUAUGCACGGUGGCAGUAGCUCAUUAGAGAUACAAUUCUGGGUCGUGGUCGGGACUGUUGACACAAAGCAACCCGCCCCCUUCCCCGUCGCUGAGAACUCUGUUUAGCUUAUAGCCUCAAGCUAACAUUAGUGGCUCAAAAAUACUUAAUACUGGAUAAAUCCAGUUUUGAGGAGACUUUGGCAUGCCCAUUUCAGUUGGUGCAUCACUAGUUUGAGCAAUGAGAUAUAUAAGCUAGGGUCGCUACGCUAGCUUGUUGCGUACGCAAAGUUGGACGCCAUAUUGGAUAGGGUUAGAUGUGCUACAAUUGGAAAAACAAGACAUUUUUACAAGUAAAUUAUUAUUCUCAGCUGAUAAAGGAAAACUUCUUGAAAACAUUUUGGAAAAAUCUGAGUGAGGUUAUUUUCAAUUGUGAACGUUUAGGCUGAUCUAUUAAAAGUCAAUGGCAGCUUCAAACUUUGCGCUAUUUCCACGUUUUCAAUAUGGUGUCGCUCUUUUACAUCUCUUAGAGAAUAACAGACUAAUGUAGCCUCUCUAGCUAAAGAACUCAUUUUCGAGCAUCGAUUUUUCUGAUCCAACCCAAUUUUAAUUAAGAAAUUAUCGGAAAAACAGUUUAAAUUGUAAAUUAUUAUAUAUAGGUCCUCUAUUAUACGAAAAUUGAUACAGCAUGUUAAAAAUACAUGAAAAAAAAAUUCCAUUGGAUUGUGUCUUUAAGAAAAAAAAAAGUUGAAUUUUUUCGACUUUGCUUUGGAUGGAAUCUGGCACUUUUCUCCAUCACUCACUCUUCGCUGGAGUCUGCCUAAACGCCAACCCUUUGACUUCCACGCUGAAGCUCAUCUGACAAAGAAAGUAACUGAAUCUGGAUGCAGUUCAUCAAGUAACCACUAGGGGGCAAACAAAUCACUGUAGAAAUAGGAAUACUUGAAUCUACUAGCUUGAUUUAAAACGUGACAGUUGUGCAGGAGAUAUAUUUAUUUAACCAUAAAACGCUAUUUAUUUUUCAUUUUGGCGUGAAGUUGCACAUGCAAAGGCAGUUUUAUUCUUUUCUUGAAAUGUGAUCAAUUCUUGAGCAGACAUACUGGACCAAAAUCAGGCUCGAUUUACUCCGCUAAAGGGACGUUCUCCUCAAAACAUCUGACUUCCACCCCUCAUACUGGUAUUGGCUGUGCUUUUUUUUUUUAUCAUAGUUGGCGUGGUUUGAAGCUGGCUUAAAAUGAAGUGAUAUCUUCCACUCUGUUGUUGAUCCUAGUUCCAUCAAAUCGGAGUGGUUCAUUGACUUUUAGAUGUAAACAAGGGAACAGGGUUUUAAAAAAACGGCGAAUCCUGACCUGAACAAGGGGGUUGUUUUUUUUUUUUUUUUUUUUAGUUCCUGUUGGGCCUAUUCUAGUAAAGGCUGAUGGGAGCCUCCUAAUCACGAAUAAAGGGAAAAAUAGAAUUUGCAGGGACGAGGUAAAAGGGUUUUCUUGAACUGGAAAAGCCUCACAGAGCAGCUACGAUGACUCAUCCUGAAGGCAGACAGUGUUCAGUCAGUCGGCUGCCUUAACGUCUUUUCUCUGCCCCUCUCUGCGUGCUGAGGGAUGACUGAGCCUUGUCUGUGCUGGAGAUCAUUCCACUGUUAGGCCAAGCUAAGCCUUCUGACUCCUGCGCGAGUGCGUCACUGUGAAGGGAAGCAGCGACGAAGCGAGAGCGCGGUGGAGAUUUUCUUAUUUUAGUUUAAUUCCAGUGUUGUAAUUUGUCGUAUUAAAACCCUGAGCUUUGCAAUCAGGGCUGAGCUGAGGCGCACAGAUUUCAACGAAUCCUUUCAGAUUUCAGGACACUGUUCCUAUUAUCAUUUAUACCUGUAAAAUAUCUAAAAAAUACUAUUUAAAAAGUAUUGUAAAACCGUAGCUUAUACGCUAAAAGGCUUCAGAGAAAUGAAGGAACUGACACUAAACAUGGCUGCUGGUUUUUCAAGAUAAUCAGAUUACUUCAUGUUUAUUAUUAUGAUUAUUAUUAUUGCACAUAGGUGGUGUGUAGUAUUAGUAUUUGUGCUACCUACUAGAGUAAAUUUACUUUGUCCCCUUUUCAAAGAUCAGAUAGAAAGCUGUCAUAUUUAUAGUAGCUUGUCGAUGGAGCCGACAGAACAAGCCAAGCUGUUUUAUUUUGAAAUGUUCGAUGGAAACUUAUAAAAGCUUUGAUGUCCACAUGUAUAUUUUUUUUCCGUUAUGUCAUUAAAUGUAUUUCUCGUAAUUUAUUAUUAGAUCCUUAUCACAUUUUUUUUUUUGACACUCAUUUUUCAAAGUUGAUAUUUUUAACUGUUUUGAAAAACAACUGUACAGUCUUGAGGAAGGAAUGUAACAAGUGGCAGUUUUGCAUUGUAUAUAUCUGUAAUUAUUUGCCUUUAUUUUAUUAUUUGUAUCAUAUCAAUGCCUUGUACAGCGUUUUUCCUUUUUUGUUUUUAAAUUAUUUUGUAUUUUAUUUUUAUAAACUGGUUAUGAAUAAAUUUACUCAUUCCGCAUGCAGACAGAAUCAUGUGACAACUGUGUCCUUUUUUCUCCUUCAAUAUUAACAAAUUAAGUAAGGUAUAUAUAUGGAAUUAGAUGCACACAGACACAUUUAAUUAACAAGUUAAAAAAAACCACAAUUUUCACUGAUGGCACCUAAAAUUAAGAAAGUAAAAAACAGAUAAUUAGUCAAAAU
RNAcentral lists this long non-coding RNA (5451 nucleotides) under Oryzias javanicus (javanese ricefish). Its description in RNAcentral is "lncRNA (ENSOJAG00000015669.1)". Lineage: Eukaryota; Metazoa; Chordata; Actinopteri; Beloniformes; Adrianichthyidae. The record is from RNAcentral.